This 601-nucleotide long non-coding RNA is filed under the name Mus caroli (Ryukyu mouse). RNAcentral's name for it is "lncRNA (MGP_CAROLIEiJ_G0004287.1)". The record is from RNAcentral. Lineage: Eukaryota; Metazoa; Chordata; Mammalia; Rodentia; Muridae.
CCAAACGCAAGGGUGUUCCAGGUAUACCCCAGCCACUCCUGCUGUUGAUGAACCGUUUAUAACGUUCCUGGUGUAGAAGGUGGUCCAGGGUACAGGAGUCAUUGUCAUAUACAGCUUGAUUGAGAGCCUGUUUUUCCCCGGUGUCAGUGUCCUCCUCCUCCUUUUCAGGUUGCAGAAGAGAAAAGAUCUUGGCGAUAUCCAUGAGGUUCAUUCUGGUUUAUUCGAAUAGCGCUAUUCUCAUUGCAAGGAGGAGGAAAUUCCAGAUCUGUUUUCUUUGUGCUGCUUAUUAGGGAUGGAAAAGCUUUCGUUGUUUUCACUGUGUCUUAGCUAGUGUUGGGAUUGAAGGUCCUGAUGAACUAAAAUGUUUCUCUAUCUUUUCACUUGUUGUUGCAGGCUGUGGAGGUGGGCUUCCCAAAGCUUCUUGGAUCACUGAUUAUUGUGGCGAUCUUCUGGCUGACUAAUGCCGAGUAUGUAACAGACAAGGACUCAAACUGCCUUUUCCUGCUCCACUGCUGCUGUUUCCAAGUGAGCCCUGUUGGAAGCUAUGUUCUUCCCAUAGUAAUCGGGGAAGUAGAUUUACUUCCCUUGUCUUACUGACCAU